ACAUAAUGACAUUUCAUAUCACCAUAGCUACUCAUAUUACUAACAUAUAAUGAUGACUAGGGAAUCUGCCAGAGUUUGGUAUAACUGAAGAUUAAAUUAAGAAGAUUAUGACUUGGAUCAUAUUUAGUUUAGGUAGCCAAGAACUUACAGGAAAGAAGAACCUUUAUUAUAGGAACCAUUUUAAUAGGUUCAAGCGCACCAAAACUUAAAUUUUGUAGAAGUGAAAUGUAAAGUUUUCAACAUUUGAGUGAUUCAAAAGUGAAACCACAAAAAAGAAAUUGAGGCAUUUGGUAAGAAAGGUAGUGAUGAGAAAAAAUUGUGCUUGAGGAUUUUGAAGGUUCCAUGAGUAAUCUUUAAUAAAAACACUAAAAACUAAUGAUCGCAUGUCAAUUAUUCCAUUGGAGGAUAAAACAGAACGAUAUACGCUUUUAGCCUAGUACAAUAUUUGCAGAAUUUCUCAGAAAGUACAAUAUUUGCAGGGACUUGCUCAGAAAUAGAAUUCCAAACAAUGCAAUUAUACUUUACAGGAACCUGUAAACAUCAAUAAUGCACAUUCAAUGGGGGUGUAAAUUAAUCAUGUUACUCAUAGAAUACUCGGACUCAACUUUUGAAUUACUCAAAUUCUAUAGUCAAGCUCAAACUUAGGGAUUAAAAUACUCUACCCAAGUUGCUCACAAGUCUAAUCAAGUAUUUAAUUUUAUACAACUAAAUAUAUUUCAAACUAAAUAUCCUAUUUAAAUCAUAAAUUAUGAUAUGUACAAUUUAUCCCAAAUAUGUAAAAGCAAAAUGUCAAUUUGAGCUUAAACUCAAGCUAACUUUAGUUUAUUUGAGUUUUAAAUCAACAUCAGUUACAAGGUUAAUUUGAAUUUUUUUUAUGACAAUUGAAUCAACAUCAGCUUAAGUAUAACAUCAAGCCAAAUUAGAGUAUGAAAAUAAAGUUCAACCAAGUUAAAAUUCAGUUUGGAGUUUAGU
This 972-nucleotide unclassified non-coding RNA is filed under the name Hevea brasiliensis (rubber tree). Lineage: Eukaryota; Viridiplantae; Streptophyta; Magnoliopsida; Malpighiales; Euphorbiaceae. The record is from RNAcentral.